Trichechus manatus latirostris (Florida manatee) is the source of this 105-nucleotide small nucleolar RNA. The record is from RefSeq and is a predicted model, not a curated record. NCBI's taxonomy places the organism in Eukaryota, Metazoa, Chordata, Mammalia, Sirenia, Trichechidae.
CCCCUGUGAUGAGUUGCCAUGCUAAUACUGAGACACCAGGGGGCUUUACCCAGCAUUGGGUGUUAUUGAGGUAAAUUCUACUUCUCUUAAAUCUACCUGAGGGGC